UUUUAAAGAUACGUGAUUUCUUUGGGCCCACCCAGAUGAUCCAGGAUAAUCUCCCCAUCUUAAGAUCCCUAACUGAAUCACGUCUGCAAAGUCCCUUGCCAUGUAAGGUAACAUUCACAGGUUCCAAGGAU
This is a non-coding RNA of Ceratotherium simum simum (southern white rhinoceros), 131 nucleotides long. NCBI's taxonomy places the organism in Eukaryota, Metazoa, Chordata, Mammalia, Perissodactyla, Rhinocerotidae. The record is from RefSeq and is a predicted model, not a curated record.